Paramuricea clavata is the source of this 346-nucleotide non-coding RNA. The record is from the annotation of a GenBank genome assembly. NCBI's taxonomy places the organism in Eukaryota, Metazoa, Cnidaria, Anthozoa, Malacalcyonacea, Plexauridae.
UCCACAAUUAAUCUAAAAUAAAGAUUUAUAGUAAAACUGAUACCGUACCAAUUUAAGUUCCUCUACGGAAAUUCUAACCAAAUUGCAAAUUUCGACUCGUUAUAAUCUCGUUUCCUGACCAUCAGAUUUCCGUCAAAUCUUCCCCCCAAAGUCCAGGAAAUGGCAUUUCAGAGACUCUAAAUUUAAAAAUUUUCCGGGGGGGCAUGCCCCCGGACCCCCCUAGGAACACCUCGCACCUGCGGCGCUCGGCUCGUGCCUUCGGCCCUCGUUUAUCAAGCGUCACAUUAUAGGGGCGCAUAUUGGUUGAUAGCCCACUGGCCCCCCCAGAAAAAUAGUAUCCAGCACG